UCUACGGAGAGUUUGAUUCUGGCUCAGAACGAACGCUGGCGGCGUGGAUAAGACAUGCAAGUCGAACGAAGAUCUUGAAUAGCUUGCUAAUUAAGAUCUUAGUGGCGGACGGGUUAGUAACACGUGAGAACCUACCCUUUAGACAGGAAUAGUCCCGGGAAACUGGGUUUAAUGCCUGAUAGUCUCUAUGGAGUAAAUGGUGCCUUCGGGUAUCGCUAAAGGAUGGGCUCGCGGCCUAUCAGUUUGUUGGUGAGGUAAAGGCUCACCAAGACUACGACGGGUAGCUGGUCUGAGAGGACGAUCAGCAACACUGGAACUGAGACACGGUCCAGACACCUACGGGUGGCAGCAGUCGAGAAUCAUUCACAAUGGAGGCAACUCUGAUGGUGCAACGCCGCGUGGAGGAUGACGGUCCUAGGAUUGUAAACUCCUGUCAUUGGGGAGUAAGACUUAUGCGUUAAGAGCGUGUAAGUUUGAUAGUACCCAAAGAGGAAGGGACGGCUAACUUCGU
Molecule: ribosomal RNA, 511 nt
Filed under: bacterium
Lineage: Bacteria
Description: bacterial SSU rRNA
Rfam family: Bacterial small subunit ribosomal RNA
Source: RNAcentral